AGCGACGACGCUGGCGGCAGGCUUAACACAUGCAAGUCGAGCGCCCCGCAAGGGGAGCGGCAGACGGGUGAGUAACGCGUGGGAAUCUACCCUUUUCUACGGAAUAACGCAGGGAAACUUGUGCUAAUACCGUAUAAGCCCUUCGGGGGAAAGAUUUAUCGGGAAAGGAUGAGCCCGCGUUGGAUUAGCUAGUUGGUGGGGUAAAGGCCUACCAAGGCGACGAUCCAUAGCUGGUCUGAGAGGAUGAUCAGCCACAUUGGGACUGAGACACGGCCCAAACUCCUACGGGAGGCAGCAGUGGGGAAUAUUGGACAAUGGGCGCAAGCCUGAUCCAGCCAUGCCGCGUGAGUGAUGAAGGCCCUAGGGUUGUAAAGCUCUUUCACCGGUGAAGAUAAUGACGGUGACCGGAGAAGAAGCCCCGGCUAACUUCGUGCCAGCAGCCGCGGUAAUACGAAGGGGGCUAGCGUUGUUCGGAAUUACUGGGCGUAAAGCGCACGUAGGCGGAUUGUUAAGUGAGGGGUGAAAUCCCAGGGCUCAACCCUGGAACUGCCUUUCAUACUGGCAAUCUAGAGUCCAGAAGAGGUGAGUGGAAUUCCGAGUGUAGAGGUGAAAUUCGUAAAUAUUCGGAGGAACACCACUGGCGAAGGCGGCUCACUGGUCUGGUACUGACGCUCAGGUGCGAAAGCGUGGGGAGCAAACAGGAUUAGAUACCCUGGUAGUCCACGCCGUAAACGAUGAAUGUUAGCCGUCGGGCAGUUUACUGUUCGGUGGCGCAGCUCACGCAUUAAACAUUCCGCCUGGGGAGUACGGUCGCCAGAUUAAAACUCAAUGAAUUGACGGGGGCCGCACAAGCGUGGAGCAUGGGUUUAAUUCGAAGCAACGCACAGAACUUACCAGCCCUGACAUCCCGAUCCCGCAUAGAAGAGAUCCUCUCCCUUCAUUUCCGCUGGAUCGGAAACAGGUGCUGCAGGGCUGUCGUCAGCUCGUGUCGUGAGAUGU
This 999-nucleotide ribosomal RNA is filed under the name Sinorhizobium medicae WSM1115. RNAcentral describes it as "bacterial SSU rRNA". It matches the Rfam family "Bacterial small subunit ribosomal RNA", at positions 26 to 1075 of the family's 1533-position model. Lineage: Bacteria; Pseudomonadati; Pseudomonadota; Alphaproteobacteria; Hyphomicrobiales; Rhizobiaceae. The record is from RNAcentral.